GCGCCUAUCUUUUUGCUGUUCAUACGAAAUGAACGUCAUAAUUUUCAAUGGAAAAGAAAAGGGCGAAUGAAAAUAUUUUUAUCACAUGUUUGACGUCGCGGGAUUGUAAUAAAGCCAUUACAUAAAAUUGAUAAUACACUAGUGUCAUUUAAGAAAUAAUAAGUUUUCAAACGUGGUUUACCGCAGAAUAACCCGAGAUAGAUUUUGCUCUACAUGUAUCUAAGCCCCCAGCUUUUAUGGUACAACUUUCGAACACUUCCGUCAGUCCAUCGGGAGGUGGCACUAUAACCUUUGAUAACGUCAAAACCAAUGUCGGUAAAUACUACAAGCCAAACCCUGGGAUUUUUGUUGUGCCCUUCAACGGCACCUACAGCUUUACUCUUAAUAUAGCUUCCUUUGACAACGUCGCACUUGCAAUCAUGGCCAACAAUGUGGUACAUGGUUGGACAGGUAGACAACGAAGUUAAGUCAGCAGAUGCAGUUGUAGAACUGAAUAUGGGAGACACAGUGUUUAUCAGCGUACUUAUUUCUCCAGAAAACCCGGUACUAUCGCGUUGCACAUUUACGGGUGUCCAGUCACACGGUUCUAUUUGUGUCCGUACACAGUACUGUAAUGACUGUUGUACAUGCUAAAAACUAAUCUUUAGCGGAGGAAACGAAACGAAAGCUAAAACAUCUGACCUACAUUUUGAAUUCAAUAAAUGCAAUAUUUGAACAAUU
RNA transcript from Mercenaria mercenaria, 720 nucleotides. It is a transcript of the gene named EMILIN-2-like, with no coding region annotated. The transcript has 3 exons. The record is from RefSeq and is a predicted model, not a curated record. NCBI's taxonomy places the organism in Eukaryota, Metazoa, Mollusca, Bivalvia, Venerida, Veneridae.